This 22-nucleotide microRNA is filed under the name Bos taurus (domestic cattle). RNAcentral describes it as "bta-miR-2370-5p". Lineage: Eukaryota; Metazoa; Chordata; Mammalia; Artiodactyla; Bovidae. The record is from miRBase by way of RNAcentral.
UGGGAAAAUGAAAGUUGGUUAU